UCAUGAGAGUUUGAUCCUGGCUCAGGAUGAACGCUGGCGGCAUGUCUUAGGCAUGCAAGUCGAACGAUCCACUUCGGUGGAGAGUGGCAGACGGGUGAGUAACACAUUGGUAACCUACCUCUAACAAAGGAAUAACCCGAAGAAAUUUGGGCUAAUACCUUAUACUCUUUUCUCUCAUAUGAGUGAAAAGGAAAGCUCCGGCGGUUAGAGAGGGGCCUAUGGUCCAUCAGCUUGUUGGUAAGGUAAAAGCUUACCAAGGCUAUGACGGAUAGCGGGUGUGAGAGCAUGACCCGCCUCAAUGGGACUGAAACACUGCCCAUACUCCUACGGGAGGCUGCAGUCGAGAAUCUUCCUCAAUGCGCGAAAGCGUGAAGGAGCAAUGCCGCGUGCCGGAAGACGCCUUUCGGGGUGUAAACGGCUUUUAUGUGGGAACAAACUUCGGUUGAGUGUACCACUUGAAUAAGAGGUUGCUAACUCUGUGCCAGCAGCAGCGGUAAUACAGAGACCUCAAGCGUUAUCCGGAUUUAUUGGGCGUAAAGGGUCCGUAGGCUGUUUGCCAAGUUUCUCGUCAAAUUUUACGGCUCAACCGUAAAACUGCGAGGAAAACUGACAAACUAGAGACUGGGAGAGGCAAGCGGAACGGCUGGUGUAGGGGUAAAAUCCGUUAAUAUCAGCCGGAACACCAAAGGCGAAGGCAGCUUGCUGGAACAGUUCUGACGCUAAGGGACGAAAGCGUGGGUAGCGAAUGGGAUUAGAUACCCCAGUAGUCCACGCCGUAAACGAUGGGUACUAGCUUUUGGGAGUAUCGACCCUCCCAGAGGUGCUUAUAACCAAGCUAACGCGUUAAGUACCCCGCCUGGGGAGUACGGUCGCAAGACUAAAACUCAAAGGAAUUGACGGGGACCCGCACAAGCGGUGGAGCGUGUGGUUUAAUUCGAUACUAAGCGGGGAACCUUACCAGGACUUGACAUCGAUCUGCAAACCCUAGGAAACUAGGGCUCUUUCGAAGGUGAUCGACAGGUGCUGCAUGGUUGUCGUCAGCUCGUGCUGUGAAGUGUACCGUUAAGUCGGGAAACGAGCGCAACCCCUAUAUUGUGUUAUUUUUCCACAAUAGACUGCCCUGGUUAACAGGGAGGAAGGUGGGGACGACGUCAAAUCAGCAUGGCUCUUACGUCCUGGGCGACACACGCGCUACAAUGGGUAAAACAACGAGUUGCCAAACCGUGAGGUGGAGCUAAUCUCUUAAAUUUACCCUCAGUUCGGAUUGAAGUCUGCAAUUCGACUUCAUGAAGUUGGAAUCGCUAGUAAACGCGUAUCAGCCACGGCGCGUUGAAUACGUUCUCGGGUCUUGUACACACCGCCCGUCACGUCAAGGGAGCCGAUAGCACCCGAAGCCCCUUCUUUACGAAGGGAUCAAGGUGAGAUCGGUGACAGGGACGAAGUCGUAACAAGGCAUCCGUAGCGGAAGCUGUGGAUGGAUCACCUCCUUUCUAAGGAG
This 1498-nucleotide ribosomal RNA is filed under the name Candidatus Jacksonbacteria bacterium. RNAcentral describes it as "bacterial SSU rRNA". It matches the Rfam family "Bacterial small subunit ribosomal RNA". Lineage: Bacteria; Candidatus Jacksoniibacteriota. The record is from RNAcentral.